UACGUAGGGUCCAAGCGUUGUCCGGAUUUACUGGGCGUAAAGAGCGCGCAGGCGGUCGUUCAAGUCGCGUGUGAAAGCCCCCGGCUCAACUGGGGAGGGUCACGCGAUACUGAUCGACUCGAAGGCAGGAGAGGGAAGUGGAAUUCCCGGUGUAGUGGUGAAAUGCGUAGAUAUCGGGAGGAACACCAGUGGCGAAGGCGACUUCCUGGCCUGUUCUUGACGCUGAGGCGCGAAAGCUAGGGGAGCAAACGGG
This 253-nucleotide ribosomal RNA is filed under the name uncultured bacterium. RNAcentral describes it as "partial 16S ribosomal RNA". It matches the Rfam family "Bacterial small subunit ribosomal RNA", at positions 524 to 776 of the family's 1533-position model. The record is from RNAcentral.